This 490-nucleotide ribosomal RNA is filed under the name uncultured bacterium. RNAcentral describes it as "partial 16S ribosomal RNA". It matches the Rfam family "Bacterial small subunit ribosomal RNA", at positions 30 to 507 of the family's 1533-position model. The record is from RNAcentral.
AUUGAACGCUGGCGGCAGGCCUAACACAUGCAAGUCGAACGGUAACAGGAAGCAGCUUGUUGCUUCGCUGACGAGUGGCGGACGGGUGAGUAAUGUCUGGGAAGCUGCCUGAUGGAGGGGGAUAACUACUGGAAACGGUAGCUAAUACCGCAUAAUGUCGCAAGCCCAUAGAGGGGGACCUUCGGGCCUCUUGCCAUCGGAUGUGCCCAGAUGGGAUUAGCCUGUUGGUGGGGUAACGGCUCACCAAGGCGACGAUCCCUAGCUGGUCUGAGAGGAUGACCAGCCACACUGGAACUGAGACACGGUCCAGACUCCUACGGGAGGCAGCAGUAGGGAAUAUUGCACAAUGGGCGCAAGCCUGAUGCAGCCAUGCCGCGUGUAUGAAGAAGGCCUUCGGGUUGUAAAGUACUUUCAGCGGGGAGGAAGGGAGUAAAGAUAAUACCUUUGCUCAUUGACGUUACCCGCAGAAGAAGCACCGGCUAACUCCGUG